CAGUAGCCGCGGUAAUACGUAGGUGGCAAGCGUUGUCCGGAAUUAUUGGGCGUAAAGGGCUCGCAGGCGGUUUCUUAAGUCUGAUGUGAAAGCCCCCGGCUCAACCGGGGAGGGUCAUUGGAAACUGGGGAACUUGAGUGCAGAAGAGGAGAGUGGAAUUCCACGUGUAGCGGUGAAAUGCGUAGAGAUGUGGAGGAACACCAGUGGCGAAGGCGACUCUCUGGUCUGUAACUGACGCUGAGGAGCGAAAGCGUGGGGAGCGAACAGGAUUAGAUACCCCCGUAGUCCCUGUCUCUUAUAC
RNAcentral lists this ribosomal RNA (301 nucleotides) under uncultured bacterium. RNAcentral's name for it is "partial 16S ribosomal RNA". It matches the Rfam family "Bacterial small subunit ribosomal RNA", at positions 509 to 807 of the family's 1533-position model. The record is from RNAcentral.